Molecule: long non-coding RNA, 583 nt
Organism: Agrilus planipennis (emerald ash borer)
Lineage: Eukaryota; Metazoa; Arthropoda; Insecta; Coleoptera; Buprestidae
Exons: 4
Source: RefSeq, a predicted model, not a curated record
ACGACGUGUGGAACGGGCGAUGUCAUUGUCGUUUUGCAUUAAUAAAAUUGUGUUUUAGUCGAUUUUAGUGAACGACUAACGGGGUAAACAAUCGCUUAGUUUCGCAAAUUUAGUUGGUAUACUGGUUGUAGUCAUUAUCAUCCUGGAUUUGUGUUUUAAAAGGAAAAUCGUCACAAAGGAUCGCAGAGAAAAUUACGUAUUGAUUAGAUGUUCUAUUUAAAUUGGAAGAUGUCCACUAGAUGCCUAGAAUCAACCGUCAGCAGGAGUCGAAUUGAUGCGGUGCAAGUCCAGAUUCCUGAAUUGGAUUUCAUAUGCUUUCUGUUCUUCUUUUUUUGGAACAGUCAUAUAAGAAGGAAGAAGAUGUGAACACAAUGUGGUUUCGAUACAUCCUGUACUACGAAGAGGCUUAGAGGAAUUCUGGGGUUGGUCACGGAUCAAAUUUUCUGGAAAUGAUGUUACGUAUUCAAGUAAACCAUUGCACCGAAACCGUUUUUCACAAAUCUACUGCAGAAAAAAGGACCACCAUUGAAGCAUACGAUAAUUUUUUUAAAAAUGCAUAUACAAAAGGGAUUUAUUGAAAAAA